RNAcentral lists this unclassified non-coding RNA (566 nucleotides) under Hevea brasiliensis (rubber tree). Lineage: Eukaryota; Viridiplantae; Streptophyta; Magnoliopsida; Malpighiales; Euphorbiaceae. The record is from RNAcentral.
UGCGCCAAGGUGAGAUCUUUCACAUCCAUCAGCUCAAGAACUGACUUGGGUGUAGCCCUUUCAUGGCCACCCAAUAGCUCAACAGCAUGAACAAAGCGAGCAUGAAGGGUAGUAGUCCACCGCAUCCUUGGUGCUCUCAUGCUGCGUUUAGCUGGAAAUCUUGACAUCAAUCUUGAUCUCAUAAAACCUGGAGACUGAUAGGGACUUAAACUUGAGGAGCUCGAGUUAGUGGUUGCUAAAGAAGAAUUUUGAGCACCAGUACUAUCCAAAGGUUGUUGAGAGACGGAAAAAGGAGUAGGGUUUUGGUAUACAGGAAUCCCUCUAAUGGGUCUCAAGAAACCAAGCUCUUGGCUUGGCCCUUGCUGCUGCUGCUGCUGCUGAAAGAGGGGAUUUUGGUGAUGAUGAAGGUGGUUUUCUUGGAGAUGGUGUUGGUACAGGUUUUGUUGGAAAGAAUGGAAAAUAUUCUUACCAUUGUAAUUGCCAGUGUUUUGGAGAAGGUGAAAAUGGUUGGAGCCAGGCUCUGAAACCCUGGGAUUCGAUAGUGAGAGCUCAAAACAGGCAUCAGG